RNAcentral lists this ribosomal RNA (722 nucleotides) under freshwater sediment metagenome. RNAcentral's name for it is "bacterial SSU rRNA". It matches the Rfam family "Bacterial small subunit ribosomal RNA", at positions 380 to 1093 of the family's 1533-position model. The record is from RNAcentral.
AGCCUGAUCCAGCAAUACCGCGUGUGUGAAGAAGGCCUGAGGGUUGUAAAGCACUUUCAAUGGGGAGGAAUACCGGCUGGUUAAUACCCAGUCGUUUGACAUUACCCAUACAAGAAGCACCGGCUAACUCCGUGCCAGCAGCCGCGGUAAUACGGAGGGUGCAAGCGUUAAUCGGAAUUACUGGGCGUAAAGCGUGCGUAGGUGGCGCGUUAAGUCAGAUGUGAAAGCCCCGGGCUUAACCUGGGAACGGCAUUUGAAACUGGCGGGCUAGAGUUGAGUAGAGGGGAGUGGAAUUUCAGGUGUAGCGGUGAAAUGCGUAGAGAUCUGAAGGAACACCAGUGGCGAAGGCGGCUCCCUGGACUUAAACUGACGCUGAGGUACGAAAGCGUGGGUAGCAAACAGGAUUAGAUACCCUGGUAGUCCACGCUGUAAACGAUGUCAACUAACCGUUGGGCUUCUUUUAGGAGCUUAGUGGUGGAGCUAACGUAUUAAGUUGACCGCCUGGGGAGUACGGCCGCAAGGUUAAAACUCAAAUGAAUUGACGGGGGCCCGCACAAGCGGUGGAGCAUGUGGUUUAAUUCGAUGCAACGCGAAGAACCUUACCUACCCUUGACAUCCAGAGAAUCUGUGAGAGAUCGUAGAGUGCCUUCGGGAGCUCUGAGACAGGUGCUGCAUGGCUGUCGUCAGCUCGUGUUGUGAAAAUGUGGGUUAAGUCCCGUAAC